GAUCAAAGUGUAGUAUCUGUUCUCGUUAGCUUAAUAUCUGACGUGGUCCCCAUUGGGGUCCAGGAUAUUAAUCUCAUUUUUGGUAUGGGGCGGAGCUGUUGAAGCUUGCUUCAUCUCUGCCACGGGUUGGC
RNAcentral lists this small nuclear RNA (131 nucleotides) under Sorensenius sp. DNA101432. RNAcentral's name for it is "partial U2 snRNA". It matches the Rfam family "U2 spliceosomal RNA", at positions 25 to 155 of the family's 192-position model. From Rfam's summary of the family: U2 is a small nuclear RNA (snRNA) component of the spliceosome (involved in pre-mRNA splicing). Complementary binding between U2 snRNA (in an area lying towards the 5' end but 3' to hairpin I) and the branchpoint sequence (BPS) of the intron results the bulging out of an unpaired adenosine, on the BPS, which initiates a nucleophilic attack at the intronic 5' splice site, thus starting the first of two transesterification reactions that mediate splicing. The record is from RNAcentral. Lineage: Eukaryota; Metazoa; Arthropoda; Arachnida; Opiliones; Pyramidopidae.